Molecule: ribosomal RNA, 266 nt
Filed under: uncultured Staphylococcus sp.
Lineage: Bacteria; Bacillati; Bacillota; Bacilli; Caryophanales; Staphylococcaceae
Description: partial 16S ribosomal RNA
Rfam family: Bacterial small subunit ribosomal RNA
Source: RNAcentral
CGGCGGACAGGUGAGUAACACGUGGGUAACCUACCUAUAAGACUGGGACAACUUCGGGAAACCGGAGCUAAUACCGGAUAAGAUAUCGAACCGCAUGGUUCGAUAGUGAAAGANGGUUUUGCUAUCACUUAUAGAUGGACCCGCGCCGUAUUAGCUAGUUGGUGAGGUAACGGCUCACCAAGGCAACGAUACGUAGCCGACCUGAGAGGGUGAUCGGCCACACUGGAACUGAGACACGGUCCAGACUCCUACGGGAGGCAGCAGUC